Molecule: ribosomal RNA, 425 nt
Filed under: uncultured bacterium
Lineage: Bacteria
Description: partial 16S ribosomal RNA
Rfam family: Bacterial small subunit ribosomal RNA
Source: RNAcentral
GUAGGGAAUCUUGCGCAAUGGGCGAAAGCCUGACGCAGCCAUGCCGCGUGAAUGAUGAAGGUCUUAGGAUUGUAAAAUUCUUUCACCGGGGACGAUAAUGACGGUACCCGGAGAAGAAGCCCCGGCUAACUUCGUGCCAGCAGCCGCGGUAAUACGAAGGGGGCUAGCGUUGCUCGGAAUUACUGGGCGUAAAGGGAGCGUAGGCGGAUAGUUUAGUCAGAGGUGAAAGCCCAGGGCUCAACCUUGGAAUUGCCUUUGAUACUGGCUAUCUUGAGUAUGGAAGAGGUAUGUGGAACUCCGAGUGUAGAGGUGAAAUUCGUAGAUAUUCGGAAGAACACCAGUGGCGAAGGCGACUCACUGGCCCAAUACUGACGCUGAGGCGCGAAAGCGUGGGGAGCAAACAGGAUUAGAAACCCGUGUAGUCC